This 519-nucleotide ribosomal RNA is filed under the name uncultured Babesia. RNAcentral's name for it is "SSU rRNA". It matches the Rfam family "Eukaryotic small subunit ribosomal RNA", at positions 214 to 731 of the family's 1831-position model. The record is from RNAcentral. Lineage: Eukaryota; Apicomplexa; Aconoidasida; Piroplasmida; Babesiidae.
AUAAAAAACCAAUGCCCUUCGGGGCUCCUUGGUGAUUCAUAAUAACUUAACGAAUCGCAUGGCCUUGCGCCGGCGAUGGUUAUUUAAAAUUUCUGCCCUAUCAACCGAUGGUAGGAUAGUGGCCUACCAUGGUGGCAACGGGUAACGGGGAAUUAGGGUUCGAUUCCGGAGAGGGAGCCUGAGAAACGCCACCACAUCCAAGGAAGGCAGCAGGCGCGCAAAUUAACCAAUCCCGACACGGGGAGGUAGUGACAAUAAAUACUGAUUACGGGGCUUCUUUGGGUCCUCGUAAUUGGAAUGAGUACAAUCCUAAAUCCCUUAACGAGGAACAAUUGGAGGGCAAGUCUGGUUGCCAGCAGCCGCGGAAAUUCCAGCUCCAAUAGCGUUAUUAUUAAAGUUGUUGCAGUUAAAAAGCUCGUAGUUGGAACCUUGGGUCUGGCUGGCCGGUCCGCCUCACCGCGAGUACUGGUGGCUUGGACCUUUCCUUCUGGGGAACCUCAUGGCCUUCACUGGCUGUGG